AAAUGAAUAGACGGGACCCCGCACAAGCGGUGGAUCAUGUUGUUUAAUUCGAAGAUACGCGAAGAACCUUACCAGGCCUUGACAUCUUCUGCAAAACUUAAGAGAUUAAGUGGAGGUUAACAGAAUGACAGGUGGUGCAUGGUUGUCGUCAGCUCGUGUCGUGAGAUGUUGGGUUAAGUCCCGUAACGAGCGCAACCCCUGUUGCUAGUUGCCAUCAUUAAGUUGGGGACUCUAGCGAGACUGCCAGUGACAAACUGGAGGAAGGUGGGGAUGACGUCAAAUCAUCAUGCCCUUUAUGGCCUGGGCUACAAACGUGAUACAAUGGCUGGAACAAAGAGAAGCAAGAGCGCGAGCUUAAGCGGACCUCAUAAAAACAGUCUCAGUUCGGAUUGGAGUCUGCAACUCGACUCCAUGAAGCCGGAAUCGCUAGUAAUCGCAGAUCAGCAUGCUGCGGUGAAUACGUUCUCGGGGUUUGUACACACCGCCCGU
This 489-nucleotide ribosomal RNA is filed under the name uncultured bacterium. RNAcentral's name for it is "bacterial SSU rRNA". It matches the Rfam family "Bacterial small subunit ribosomal RNA", at positions 903 to 1397 of the family's 1533-position model. The record is from RNAcentral.